AUUGAACGCUGGCGGCAGGCCUAACACAUGCAAGUCGAGCGGAUGAAGGGAGCUUGCUCCUGGAUUCAGCGGCGGACGGGUGAGUAAUGCCUAGGAAUCUGCCUGGUAGUGGGGGAUAACGUCCGGAAACGGGCGCUAAUACCGCAUACGUCCUGAGGGAGAAAGUGGGGGAUCUUCGGACCUCACGCUAUCAGAUGAGCCUAGGUCGGAGUAGCUAGUUGGUGGGGUAAAGGCCUACCAAGGCGACGAUCCGUAACUGGUCUGAGAGGAUGAUCAGUCACACUGGAAGUGAGACACGGUCCAGACUCCUACGGGAGGCAGCAGUGGGGAAUAUUGGACAAUGGGCGAAAGCCUGAUCCAGCCAUGCCGCGUGUGUGAAGAAGGUCUUCGGAUUGUAAAGCACUUUAAGUUGGGAGGAAGGGCAGUAAGUUAAUACCUUGCUGUUUUGACGUUACCAACAGAAUAAGCACCGGCUAACUUCGUG
RNAcentral lists this ribosomal RNA (484 nucleotides) under uncultured bacterium. RNAcentral describes it as "partial 16S ribosomal RNA". It matches the Rfam family "Bacterial small subunit ribosomal RNA", at positions 30 to 507 of the family's 1533-position model. The record is from RNAcentral.